AGUGAGCGCUGGCGGUAGGCCUAACACAUGCAAGUCGAACGGCAGCACAGUAAGAGCUUGCUCUUACGGGUGGCGAGUGGCGGACGGGUGAGGAAUACAUCGGAAUCUACUUUUUCGUGGGGGAUAACGUAGGGAAACUUACGCUAAUACCGCAUACGACCUACGGGUGAAAGCAGGGGAUCUUCGGACCUUGCGCGAUUGAAUGAGCCGAUGUCGGAUUAGCUAGUUGGCGGGGUAAAGGCCCACCAAGGCGACGAUCCGUAGCUGGUCUGAGAGGAUGAUCAGCCACACUGGAACUGAGACACGGUCCAGACUCCUACGGGAGGCAGCAGUGGGGAAUAUUGGACAAUGGGCGCAAGCCUGAUCCAGCCAUGCCGCGUGGGUGAAGAAGGCCUUCGGGUUGUAAAGCCCUUUUGUUGGGAAAGAAAAGCAGCAGGUUAAUACCCCGCUGUUCUGACGGUACCCAAAGAAUAAGCACCGGCUAACUUCGUG
Molecule: ribosomal RNA, 492 nt
Filed under: uncultured bacterium
Lineage: Bacteria
Description: partial 16S ribosomal RNA
Rfam family: Bacterial small subunit ribosomal RNA
Source: RNAcentral